UAAGCGGAGGAAAAGAAACUAACAAGGAUUCCCCUAGUAACUGCGAGUGAAGCGGGAAAAGCUCAAAUUUAAAAUCUGGCAGUCUUUGGCUGUCCGAGUUGUAAACUAGAGAAGUGUUAUCCGCGCUGGACCGUGUAAAAGUCUCCUGGAAUGGAGCAUCAUAGAGGGUGAGAAUCCCGUCUUUGACAUGGACUACCAGUGCUUUGUGAUGCGCUCUCAAAGAGUCGAGUUGUUUGGGAAUGCAGCUCAAAAUGGGUGGUAAAUUCCAUCUAAAGCUAAAUAUUGGCGAGAGACCGAUAGCGAACAAGUACCGUGAGGGAAAGAUGAAAAGAACUUUGGAAAGAGAGUUAAACAGUACGUGAAAUUGCUGAAAGGGAAACGCUUGAAGUCAGUCGCGUUGGCCAGGAAUCAACCUUGCUUUUGCUGGGCGUACUUUCUGGUUGACGGGUCAGCAUCAAUUUUGACUGUUGGAAAAAGUUCAAGGGAAUGUGGCAUCUUCGGAUGUGUUAUAGCCCUCGUUCGCAUACAGCAGUUGGGAUUGAGGAACUCAGCACGCCGCAAGGCCGGGUUUCGACCACGUUCGUGCUUAGGAUGCUGGCAUAAUGGCUUUAAUCGACCCGUCUUGAAACACGGACCAAGGAGUCUAACAUGCCUGCGAGUGUUUGGGCGGAAAACCCAAGCGCGCAAUGAAAGUGAAAGUUGAGAUCCCUGUCGUGGGGAGCAUUGACGCCCGGACCAGACCUUUUGUGACGGAUCCGCGGUAGAGCAUGCAUGUUGGGACCCGAAAGAUGGUGAACUAUGCCUGAAUAGGGUGAAGCCAGAGGAAACUCUGGUGGAGGCUCGUAGCGAUUCUGACGUGCAAAUCGAUCGUCAAAUUUGGGUAUAGGGGCGAAAGACUAAUCGAACCAUCUAGUA
Molecule: ribosomal RNA, 915 nt
Filed under: Bolbitius reticulatus
Lineage: Eukaryota; Fungi; Basidiomycota; Agaricomycetes; Agaricales; Bolbitiaceae
Description: eukaryotic LSU rRNA
Rfam family: Eukaryotic large subunit ribosomal RNA
Source: RNAcentral